This 234-nucleotide microRNA precursor is filed under the name Glycine max (soybean). Its description in RNAcentral is "miR9744 stem-loop (gma-MIR9744)". Lineage: Eukaryota; Viridiplantae; Streptophyta; Magnoliopsida; Fabales; Fabaceae. The record is from miRBase by way of RNAcentral.
GAACUAAUGGAUAUGAGCUGCAUACAGGACAGAAUGGCUGUGAGGGGUGCUGGAUUUGUUUUCUGCUAUGAAGCCUCCAUUGGCUAAGAUCAUUCCCCAUGUAUACACUUUCAGACUUUCUCUGAGAGCUUCUCUCCCAUUCUAACUUAGCCAUGGAAGGCUCCACACUGUUUAACCUAUCUGGCACCCAUCAGAGUUAUUCACUGAUGUCUGCAGCUCAUAUCCAAUAGUUCU